UUUGUAUAUAUGAGAAAGAAAGAAAGAAAGAGAGAGAGAGAGAGAGAGAGAUUGGAAUGUGACUAUUGGUACAGAGAGAGGGGACAGAAAAAACCAAAAGAAAACCCUAGAAUUCUUGCGGCUCAAAAACUUUAAAUUUGCUUUCUUUUCUAUGGUUUUCAGAUCCGACUUUGCCUCAAGAUUGAAAUUUUCGUGUUUCAAUAAGCUUUGAUCGUGGUCAGUUAUAGUGAUUUUGGGACAAAAGCAAUUGUGGGUUCGGUUUAGAAAUUUGAGAUCUUGUGAAGUAUUUUUUGGAUUGGGGGUUAUAUACUAUUUAUAAAAAGUGGUUAAAGAUGAUGUCUAGAUCGUAUACCAAUCUUUUAGAUCUAGCUUCGGGGAACUUUCCCGUAAUGGGUCGCGAAAAGAAGCGGCUACCACGUGUAAUGACCGUUCCCGGGGUUAUUUCUGAGCUUGAUGAUGAUCAGGCCAACAGUGUGUCAUCAGAUGUUCCGUCUUCGGUUGUUCAAGACCGUAUCAUUAUUGUUGCUAAUCAGCUUCCUGUGAAAGCUAAGCGUAGGCCGGAUAAUAAGGGGUGGAGUUUUAGUUGGGAUGAGGACUCAUUGUUAUUACAGCUGAAGGAUGGUUUACCUGAAGAAAUGGAGGUUUUGUAUGUAGGGUCUUUGAGGGUUGAAAUUGAUUUGACAGAACAAGAUGAUGUGUCACAGCUUUUGUUGGAUAGGUUUAAGUGUGUCCCGGCAUUUUUACCGAACGACAUUUUGAAUAAGUUUUAUCAUGGGUUUUGUAAACAGCAUUUGUGGCCACUCUUUCAUUACAUGCUUCCCUUCUCGGCAAACCAUGGCGGGCGGUUUGAUAGGUCUUUGUGGGAGGCCUAUGUGGCUGCAAAUAAGAUUUUCUCGCAAAGGGUGAUUGAGAUUUUAAACCCCGAAGAUGAUUAUGUUUGGAUUCAUGAUUACCAUUUGAUGGUGCUGCCUACUUUCUUGAGGAGAAGGUUUAACAGGCUGAGAAUGGGAUUUUUUCUUCACAGUCCGUUUCCUUCAUCAGAGAUAUAUAGGACAUUGCCCGUGAGGGAAGAGAUCCUUAAGGCACUUUUGAAUUCUGAUCUAAUUGGUUUCCACACUUUUGAUUAUGCUCGACAUUUCCUGUCUUGUUGUAGUCGAAUGUUGGGUUUGGAGUAUCAAUCGAAAAGGGGUUAUAUUGGAUUGGAAUAUUAUGGAAGGACGGUGGGGAUAAAGAUCAUGCCAGUUGGGAUUCACAUGGGCCAGAUUGAAUCUGUUUUGAGACUCGCAGAUAAGGAGUGGAGAGUGGGGGAGCUCAGACAACAGUUUGAAGGAAAAACUGUGUUACUUGGGGUUGAUGAUAUGGAUAUAUUUAAAGGCGUCAAUUUGAAACUGUUGGCAAUGGAACAGUUGUUGAAGCAGCAUCCAAAGUGGCAAGGAAGGGCAGUUCUGGUACAAAUUGCAAACCCUGCUAGGGGACGAGGGAGGGAUCUUGAGGAAAUUCAGGAUGAAAUUAGUGCAAGCUGCGAGAGAAUUAACAAAACUUUUGGGCGACCAGGUUAUGAACCAAUCGUCUUCAUUGAUAGACCAAUCUCUCUUUGUGAACGAACGGCAUACUACACCAUUGCUGAGUGUGUUGUGGUCACAGCUGUGAGGGAUGGGAUGAAUCUCACACCUUAUGAGUACAUUGUGUCCAGGCAGGGCGAGUCUGGGUCAGAGCCAAGUUCAGAAUUGAGUGGUCCUAAGAAGAGCAUGCUAGUAGUAUCAGAGUUCAUUGGGUGUUCGCCUUCAUUGAGUGGUGCAAUUCGGGUCAACCCAUGGAAUGUCGAAGCAACUGCCGAGGCAAUGAAUGAGGCAAUUUCAAUGAAUGAUUCCGAGAAGCAAUUGCGCCAUGAGAAGCAUUAUAGGUAUGUUAGCACGCACGAUGUGGCAUAUUGGUCAAGGAGCUUUUUCCAAGAUAUGGAAAGGACUUGCAAGGACCAUUUCAGAAGACGUUGUUGGGGAAUUGGUUUGAGCUUUGGUUUCAGGGUUGUGGCACUGGAUCCUAAUUUCAGAAAGUUGUCUAUUGAUGCCAUCGAAUCUGCAUAUAUAAAGUCCAAACAUAGGGCCAUUCUUUUGGAUUAUGAUGGCACAGUAAUGCCCCAAACUUCCAUCAACAAGUCCCCAAGUGAAGAGGUUAUAUCAAUUAUCAACAUGCUUUGCAGUGAUGAUAAAAACACAGUGUUUGUUGUUAGUGGAAGAGGAAAAGAUUCAUUGGGAAAGUGGUUUUCUCCUUGCAAGAAACUUGGAAUUGCUGCUGAACAUGGUUACUUCAUGAGGUGGCAUGCUGAAGAGCCUUGGAAGACCAUUGGGCAGAGUAAUGACUUUGGGUGGAUACAGAUGGCUGAGCCUGUUAUGAAAUUAUAUACUGAAUCCACUGAUGGUUCUUACAUUGAAACCAAGGAGAGUGCUUUGGUUUGGCACCAUCGGGAUGCGGACCCUGGUUUUGGAUCUACUCAGGCUAAGGAGAUGUUGGACCAUCUAGAAAGUGUUUUAGCGAAUGAACCAGUUGCUGUCAAAAGAGGUCAAUACAUUGUUGAAGUGAAGCCGCAGGGAGUGAGUAAAGGCCUGGUUGCAGAAAAGAUCUUUGCAGCAAUGGCAGAGGGUGGCAAGCAGGCUGAUUUUGUACUGUGUAUCGGUGAUGACCGAUCUGACGAGGACAUGUUUGAAAUCAUUGGAGAUGCAAUGAUAAGUGGUGUUUUAUCCUCAAAUUCAUCCGUUUUUGCCUGCACCGUUGGACAGAAGCCAAGUAAAGCCAAGUACUAUUUGGAUGACACAACUGAGGUCAUAAACAUGCUUGAGGCUCUUGCUGAUGCAUCAGACCCGUCACCCUCCCCAAGAAUUGAAGAAGGAUUUUCCCCUUGAAAUCCUCCUCCACGGCUUUUCUAACUUCAAUGUCUUCUCCUUUAUGCCAAUCGGGAAGAAAUAACAUGCCGGCCUGCGAUUAAAGGUCAAGCAGCUUUAUUUAUAAUACAUGGUGGUUAUGAAUCAAUAGCUCGUCAAGUUAAAUAGUUUUUAGUUGUCAUGGCUUAUCCCCGUUGCUUAAUUCUUUGUACGAUUGCAAAGCAUUCGACAUACUGGGCCCAAACUUCAGCUAAGAAGCUGGUGGUGAUUCCUAUAUUCCUAGAAGAAGGCGUUAAUCCAAGCACCCGAGUCAGAACAGAGCACACCCUCUCCUCUAGCAGCACCAGGGUUCCCAAGCGAUGAGUCACUUGGAAUAUCCUCUACUCUGUUGCGGUGCUGCUGCCAUAAGGUCCAUAUACCAACAACAACCAAAAAAAAAAAGAAAAAAAAAGAAGAGGAUAUUCCAAGGAAUUGAAAGGGGACCAGCCUUAGCUUCCAAUCUGCAAUUACUUUCCAGCCAAUUACGAAGAAAUCUGCACUAAAGGUUAGCUCCAAGGUUGAUUCACAAAUUGUGACAUUUAAAUAUAUAUAUAUAUAUAUUAAUUUCCCUUCCGGUCUUUUUCUUUCUAGUGAAGCAAACCAAAAUUCUAUGCUUUUCCAAGAGUUGAUCAGCUUUGUUACCAAAUUUUAUUUAUUUAUUGGGAUUUGAUUUAUUUAAAAACCUAGUUGUCAUUUUCACCUUUUAUGCUUUACAAAUAAGAGGAAACAAUUCUUCUCAAAAAAAAAAAAAAGUUAAGCGGAAGUAUCUGGACCAUUUGAAAUUUUGAAAUGAGACAAGAUAAAAAGAGUUGUGAAUGCCUGUUUUUCUUUUUUGAUGAGAUGUAUGCCUGUUUUAGAAAUGCUUGUACAGUUGUAUUGUAUGUAUAAUAAAAAUCCAUUUUCUUGUCUCGGGAA
Quercus robur (English oak) is the source of this 3833-nucleotide RNA transcript. It is a transcript of the gene named probable alpha,alpha-trehalose-phosphate synthase [UDP-forming] 7, with no coding region annotated. NCBI's taxonomy places the organism in Eukaryota, Viridiplantae, Streptophyta, Magnoliopsida, Fagales, Fagaceae. The transcript has 7 exons. The record is from RefSeq and is a predicted model, not a curated record.